CAAAAUCUCUGACAACAAUAAUACACCAUUAUAAAGUGUGAUUAGUUAGAUGUACAGUGUUAUGGAAAACUAUCAGUGACCAAUAGUUACAAUGUCACUGUGGUGAACUGUCCAUAGUAUGUAUAAUGUUGUGAAGGCGUACCAUAUGUGAGUGUUUGUUAGUUAUAAUGUUAUGGACCAGCGCUUACAAGUUAUUAGGCACCAUGGCUGUACCUACUAGCAUAUGUCUCUGUAUAGAACCU
Non-coding RNA from Pelobates cultripes (western spadefoot toad), 242 nucleotides. Lineage: Eukaryota; Metazoa; Chordata; Amphibia; Anura; Pelobatidae. The record is from the annotation of a GenBank genome assembly.